This is a long non-coding RNA of Columba livia (rock pigeon), 1895 nucleotides long. RefSeq lists it as uncharacterized. NCBI's taxonomy places the organism in Eukaryota, Metazoa, Chordata, Aves, Columbiformes, Columbidae. The transcript is spliced from 2 exons. The record is from RefSeq and is a predicted model, not a curated record.
CAAUCAGGCGAUGGCAGACCACUGCCUCGAGCCAUGCUGCGCCGCGCGGCACCAUUGGAGCGAGAAAAGGCGGCGACCAAUGAGCGCAGGGAAAGGCUGGUGUGCGGUCCCGCCAGCUGCCCUCGAUUGGCCGUAUGCCUGACCAAUAGCGACGUGAGAGGGGUUAUAAAUUCCGUGCGGAGGAACGUGUUCUUUCUUUACGGGGCUGCGCGGCGGCGGGGGAGGCAGUGGGGGCCGGCGGGAACCCGAUCGCACCGGCGGGAGCAGCAUCGCGGCGAUGAGGCAGGAGCGGUGAACGGUGAUGUGGGAGCCCGGUGGCGGGCAGCCUUCCCGAGCCUGGGCGGGGCUACCCGGGGGAUCUGAGCCGCUAACGCGCGGUGCCGGUUGUUGGUGGCACACCGUGGGCUGCUGCUGGGGUUUGCACGAGUUGGGCCAGGGCGGUAAACGGGCUGGAGCAGCCGCUUGGUGGCCAUGGUAUCACAGUAUCACAGUAUGUUUGGGAUUAGAAGGGACCUCAAAAGAUCAUCUAGUCCAAUCCCCCUGCUGGAGCAGGUGAGGUCGCACAGGAACAUGUCCAGGCGGGUUUUGAAUGUCUCCAGAGAAGGAGACUCCACAACCCCCCUGGGCAGCCUGUUCCAGUGCUCUGUCACCCUCACUGAGAAGUUUUUUCUCAAAUUUAAGCGGAACCUCUUGUGUUCCAGCUUGAUCCCAUUACCCCUUGUCCUAUCAUUGUUUGCCACCGAGAAGAGCCUGGCUACAUCCUCAUGGCACUCACCCUUUAUAUACUUAUAAACAUUAAUAAGGUCCCCCCUUAGUCUCCUCCAAACUAAAGAGCCCCAGCUCCCUCAGCCUUUCUUCAUAAGGCAGAUGCUCCACUCCCUUAAUCAUCUUCGUUGCCCUACGCUGGACUCUCCAGCAGUUCCCUGUCCUUGAACUGAGGGGCCCAGAACUGGACACAAUAUUCCAGAUGUGGUCUCACCAGGGCGGAGUAGAGGGGAAGGAGAACCUCUCUCGAUCUACUAACCACCCCCCUUCUAAUACACCCCAGGAUGCCAUUGGCCUUCCUGGCCACAAGGGUAUCUCCCUUAUGAGGGACGGCUGAGGGAGCUGGGUCUCUUUAGCUUGGAGGAGACUGAGGGGUGACUUCAUUAAUGGCUAUAAAUACAUAAAGGGUGAGUGUCAGGAGGUUGGAGCCAGGCUCUUCUCGGUGGCAAACAAUGAUAGCACAAGGGGCAAUGGCUAUAAACUGGAACACAGGAGGUUUCAUUUAAAUUUGAGAAGAAACUUCUUCCCAGUGAGGGUGGCAGAGCCUGGCCCAGGCUGCCCAGGGGGGUUGUGGAGUCUCCUUCUGUGCAGACAUUCCAACCCGCCUGGACACCUUCCUGUGUAACCUCAUCUGGGUGUUCCUGCUCCAUGGGGGGAUUGCACUGGAUGAGCUUUCCAGGUCCCUUCCAGCCCCUGACAUUGCGUGCGGCCGCAGUUCAAGGCACUGUGAGGGGGACAAGGGGUGAAGCUCUGAGUGUGGCUGAAAAACGUGCUCACCGGGGUUGCAAAAAAUAAUCAAAAGUCAUGGACUUGUACAUACACAGUAGUUGAGAGGAAACCUCCUGGAACAUGGUGCAUUCAGUUGUGUGAGGAACUGAGAGGAUUCACAGUUCUCACCAUACGAAUGAACCCCAGCACUGGAUUAGGUGGAUGAUUAAUUUAAAUCUUGAAAUCUUUGAUGCAGAGUGGCUCUUUGCAAUAUAACAAGUUGCUCACGUAAUGGUCUUUCCUCAGCCUCAAAUCACGUUUAGCCUUGUAAUUCUUAAUUAGUUUGCUGUUCUGUCUCCACUUUGGCUUCUAUAUUUUGGCAAUGUUACAGCUUACAGAUUUAAUAAAGUUUUCAAAAUAUU